AAUUUGCAUGAACAAAGUUUUGUUCAAAGGUCACAGAGUAUGACACUCUAUGGCUAGUUAUACAGUUACAAAGGCGGAAACUGAACAUAACACUAUUUUAUCCACUGAAGCCUGAAGUGAUUAUUCACUACAGAUCUCUCUUUAGUGACGAUUAUUGAGUAGCAGUGGUGGAGCUCCGGAUCUCUCCUGAUGGAUUUACACACUGUGUGCUGCAGUCUGCUUCUGCUACUGACAUGUUCAGGUCGAGGCUUUGGCCAAGUGUUGGAAUUACCUGAGAGUAUAAAUAAAACAGUUGGAGAGAAUGUAGUAAUUACCCCAAAACGUAUUCCUCAUCCUCCUCACAGCUUUGUCAGAUGGAACUUUAAUACAGUAGUCAUUCUUACUGGACCACCGAAUGGAGUUGAUAUACUGCCACCGUACAAAGACAGACUCAGUUUUAACACCACAUCUUUAGCUCUGGAGCUCAGGAGCCUGACUGAGAGUGAUACUGGACAAUAUGUACUGAGUGUAGACACUACAACUACUUACACUGCUCACACCUCACUGCUGGUACUUGUUCCAGUCUCCAGCGUUACCAUAGUGCCAAGUCAAACAGAGCUGGUUGAAAACAGCACUGUGAGUUUCCUCUGUUCUGCGUCCGGCUCCUCUAUUUCAUUUAUUUGGCUGAAUGGCAGCUCUGAGAUAACGGCAGGGGAGAGAGUUCAGCUAACAGACAACAACAGCAAACUGACCAUUACCAGUGUGAUGAGAGGUGACACAGGCCCAUACGAGUGUGAAGUAUACAACAGUAUCAACAGAAAUAGGAGUCUCCCAUUCAGCCUCACCAUUUACUAUGGUCCUGAAAAUGUUGCUGCAGCAGCAGAUCCAGAGGAACCCUUCUACAGUUCUGGGUCUAAUCUCACAUUAAACUGCUCAGCUGAGUCCAGGCCUGCUGCUGAGUUUCAUUGGGCUGUGAAUGGAACAGAGCUUGUUGAAAUGGGCCAAGAGCUCAAACUGACCAACAUUCAGAUCAGUCACAGUGGCAAUUACACCUGUAUAGCCCAUAACACACAGACCCUACAAAACUCUGUGUCUCUACCCAUCAGCGUCACUAUACUAGUGCCAGUCUCCAACGUUGCCAUAAUACCAAGUCUAACCGAAGUUGAACUCAACAACACUGUGAGUGUCAUCUGCUCUGCAUCCGGCUCCUCUCUCUCAUUUAUUUGGCUGAAUGGCAGCUCUGAGGUAACAGCAGGGGAGCGAGUUCAGCUAACAGACAACAACAGAAAUUUGACCAUUACCAGUGUGAUAAGAGGUGACACAGGCCCAUACGAGUGUGAAGCAUACAACAGCAUCAGCAGAAAAAAGAGUCUCCCAGUCAGCCUCACCAUUAAGAUUAAUGUGCCAGUCUCCAACGUUGCCAUAAUACCAAGUCUAACCGAAGUUGAACUCAACAACACUGUGAGUUUCAUCUGCUCUGCAUCCGGCUCCUCUCUUUCAUUUAUGUGGCUGAAUGCCAGCUCUGAGGUAACGGCAGGGGAACGAGUUCAGCUAACAGACAACAACAGAAAUUUGACCAUUACCAGUGUGAUAAGAGGUGACACAGGCCCAUACGAGUGUGAAGCAUACAACAGCAUCAGCAGAAAAAAGAGUCUUCCAGUCAGCCUCACCAUUAAGAUUAAUGAUAGUGGGAAUGAAGGAGGAGAUGGAGAUUCACUGUCUGCAGGAGCUAUAGCUGGGAUUGUUAUUGGAGUUUUAUUAGCUGUUGCUGCAAUUGCUGGUUUGAUUUUCUAUUUUGUGAAAGUAAAAGAAAUGCCAAGAACAAACUCCAGAGGAAAUAACCAGAGUGGAGCAACACAUAAUGCAGGUGGACAUGAUUCACAGUAUGAAAAUAUCCCCAGAUUCCAUAAUCUGAACACCAGGGUGACUGUGGGUGGAUCUGACACUCAGACGCCUCACAAACCUCACCCUGUUAUGGAUACAUACUAUGAAAAUAUGGUCGGCUCCCAUAACAACCCUGUGAUGCGUCACACACCUCACCCUGAUGAGGGAGUAAUAUAUGAAAACCCCUGACAUGCAGAAAUCAGCUCUUUUUUGAUAAUGAGUUACAAUGUGAUGUCCACGUAUGUGGACACCAGGUCAUAGGAAGUUAAACCCAGUUCAGGAAGGAAGACAUGAUUGUAUGAUCAACACACUGCAUUUUAUCUGUUACCAGCUCUGGAAAGAGGAAGUAACAGUGAAUAUUUGUAUUGAUUUGGUGUAAAGGAGCGGAAAACAAUGAUUUGUUAAAUAUGUUUAUGAAUAAUUAUAGCAUGAAUAGAAGCUGUCAAAGUCUGUACAUAUGACAACUCUGAGAGAUGAAAAUGUAUAAAAACAUUUAUGUGUAGUAAUUUUAUAAGAAAAUAAAUUGUAUUACUUUUGUAUUAAUUCUAAUUCAUUGUACUUAGGAUUAGUAAAUUUAACUUUUCACCUUAAGUUAUUAUUAAUUAUUAUUAUUAUUAAUAACUUAAGGUUAUUUAUAUUGUUGUUUAUCGGGCCUUUACCUAGCCUGUGAUAAGAAAUACCCUUGAAUAUUUUAUGAAAGGUCAGUGAUCUUUUUUACCUUGCGUUCCAUUUUGUUGUUUUGAUUUCUUUAUUUAAAGCAGAAAACUUUCACUUGUUUUGACAAUAUAUAUUCUGUAAAGAUAUAUUCUGUAAAAUCAUUUAUUAGACAUAUGUGUCUAAUUUUCCUGUUUUAUACAAAAGUUUUAAAGGUUAUAAAUUAGAAUGGUUAAAACUCUAUUUCAGUUACAAAUUCAUUCCAAUUUCAUUAGAAUUAUUACAGUUUCCUUGUAAUAAUAAAUGGUGCAGCUAAACAGAACAAUACAAAAAUAAUUCAAUAUAAAAGAUCUAAGACUUCAAGUGCACAGCUUCUACACUUGGUAAAGAUGUGGCCAAACUUGAGGAGGAAAUGCAGAGUUUACGGAGUGAGUACAGGAACAAGAGCAAUACAAAUGCUGUUAGAACCUAGUCUGGUGUAGACAGACCUUCAGAAGGUCUGGACUCCACAGCUGCUUGAAGAGCUCCUCAAGAGGCUGUCUGACUGAUGUAUGUAUGUUCCUAUUAAAACAUACUGAUGUGAAACUGUAGUUAUUCCCCUCAAAAUUUUUUAUUUAAUCAGUCUAUACCAUUUAGUAUCAUAAAAUUUCAAAUUUUUUUUGUUCAUGGUAAAUCCAGCAUUAAGCAGAUCCUUAUAAGUACUUACAGAGAGCUGUAGCUGCCGUGGUUACUGCUGACAUACCUGGUGGCUGGUCCAGGCUCUGUAGCACAAUGUAGUCACUUUCCAGUGCUCUUUUCUUUCCCAGUUUUAUCCUUACCCCGUUCACUGAAACACUCAUUUUUUUUUUAGGAAAAUCAGCCACACUUCCUCAAUCCAGCAUCAAUUCAUUAGUAAUAGUUAAUACAGAAAGAGUGGAGGAACUUUGUGGGGUUAUUUUCAUCUGUCUGCUAGUUUCAACUCAUUAUAUGACUACAGAUUCCUCAAACCUCUAUUUUUUCUUUUCUAUUUCCCUGUUAAGCUUUUGUCAUAUUUUAUCUUGGUUAUGCAUUAUAUCAUGUAUGUAUAUACAGUAUGCAUGUGUCUGCUUUGUUUCUUUGCUAUGUAUUUUUCUUAAUAAAUGCAUAAUAAUAAAUCCA
Molecule: RNA transcript, 3654 nt
Organism: Tachysurus fulvidraco (yellow catfish)
Lineage: Eukaryota; Metazoa; Chordata; Actinopteri; Siluriformes; Bagridae
Gene name: carcinoembryonic antigen-related cell adhesion molecule 20-like
Exons: 14
Source: RefSeq, a predicted model, not a curated record